GGGAGCGUUCUGUAAGCCUGCGAAGGUGGCCUGUGAGGGUUGCUGGAGGUAUCAGAAGUGCGAAUGCUGACAUAAGUAACGAUAAAGCGGGUGAAAAGCCCGCUCGCCGGAAGACCAAGGGUUCCUGUCCAACGUUAAUCGGGGCAGGGUGAGUCGACCCCUAAGGCGAGGCCGAAAGGCGUAGUCGAUGGGAAACGGGUUAAUAUUCCCGUACUUGGUGUUACUGCGAAGGGGGGACGGAGAAGGCUAUGUUGGCCGGGCGACGGUUGUCCCGGUUUAAGCGUGUAGGUGUGUGUUCCAGGUAAAUCCGGUUCACUUUAACACUGAGGCGUGAUGACGAGGCACUACGGUGCUGAAGCAACAAAUGCCCUGCUUCCAGGAAAAGCCUCUAAGCAUCAGGUAACAUCAAAUCGUACCCCAAACCGACACAGGUGGUCAGGUAGAGAAUACCAAGGCGCUUGAGAGAACUCGGGUGAAGGAACUAGGCAAAAUGGUGCCGUAACUUCGGGAGAAGGCACGCUGACACGUAGGUGAAGUGAUUUACUCAUGGAGCUGAAGUCAGUCGAAGAUACCAGCUGGCUGCAACUGUUUAUUAAAAACACAGCACUGUGCAAACACGAAAGUGGACGUAUACGGUGUGACGCCUGCCCGGUGCCGGAAGGUUAAUUGAUGGGGUCAGCGCAAGCGAAGCUCCUGAUCGAAGCCCCGGUAAACGGCGGCCGUAACUAUAACGGUCCUAAGGUAGCGAAAUUCCUUGUCGGGUAAGUUCCGACCUGCACGAAUGGCGUAAUGAUGGCCAGGCUGUCUCCACCCGAGACUCAGUGAAAUUGAACUCGCUGUGAAGAUGCAGUGUACCCGCGGCAAGACGGAAAGACCCCGUGAACCUUUACUAUAGCUUGACACUGAACAUUGAGCCUUGAUGUGUAGGAUAGGUGGGAGGCUUUGAAGUGUGGACGCCAGUCUGCAUGGAGCCGGCCUUGAAAUACCACCCUUUAAUGUUUGAUGUUCUAACGUGGACCCGUGAUCCGGGUUGCGGACAGUGUCUGGUGGGUAGUUUGACUGGGGCGGUCUCCUCCUAAAGAGUAACGGAGGAGCACGAAGGUUGGCUAAUCCUGGUCGGACAUCAGGAGGUUAGUGCAAUGGCAUAAGCCAGCUUGACUGCGAGCGUGACGGCGCGAGCAGGUGCGAAAGCAGGUCAUAGUGAUCCGGUGGUUCUGAAUGGAAGGGCCAUCGCUCAACGGAUAAAAGGUACUCCGGGGAUAACAGGCUGAUACCGCCCAAGAGUUCAUAUCGACGGCGGUGUUUGGCACCUCGAUGUCGGCUCAUCACAUCCUGGGGCUGAAGUAGGUCCCAAGGGUAUGGCUGUUCGCCAUUUAAAGUGGUACGCGAGCUGGGUUUAGAACGUCGUGAGACAGUUCGGUCCCUAUCUGCCGUGGGCGCUGGAGAACUGAGGGGGGCUGCUCCUAGUACGAGAGGACCGGAGUGGACGCAUCACUGGUGUUCGGGUUGUCAUGCCAAUGGCACUGCCCGGUAGCUAAAUGCGGAAGAGAUAAGUGCUGAAAGCAUCUAAGCACGAAACUUGCCCCGAGAUGAGUUCUCCCUGAGACUUUAGGUCUCCUGAAGGAACGUUGAAGACGACGACGUUGAUAGGCCGGGUGUGUAAGCGCAGCGAUGCGUUGAGCUAACCGGUACUAAUGAACCGUGAGGCUUAACCUUACA
Molecule: ribosomal RNA, 1719 nt
Filed under: Salmonella enterica
Lineage: Bacteria; Pseudomonadati; Pseudomonadota; Gammaproteobacteria; Enterobacterales; Enterobacteriaceae
Description: partial 23S ribosomal RNA
Rfam family: Bacterial large subunit ribosomal RNA
Source: RNAcentral